RNAcentral lists this ribosomal RNA (466 nucleotides) under uncultured bacterium. Its description in RNAcentral is "partial 16S ribosomal RNA". It matches the Rfam family "Bacterial small subunit ribosomal RNA", at positions 28 to 507 of the family's 1533-position model. The record is from RNAcentral.
GACGAACGCUGGCGGCGCGCCUAACACAUGCAAGUCGAACGAGCGAGCGAGAGCUUGCUUUCUCAAGCGAGUGGCGAACGGGUGAGUAACGCGUGAGGAACCUGCCUCAAAGAGGGGGACAACAGUUGGAAACGACUGCUAAUACCGCAUAAGCCCACAGGUCGGCAUCGACCAGAGGGAAAAGGAGCAAUCCGCUUUGAGAUGGCCUCGCGUCCGAUUAGCUAGUUGGUGAGGUAACGGCCCACCAAGGCAACGAUCGGUAGCCGGACUGAGAGGUUGAACCGCCACAUUGGGACUGAGGCACGGCCCAGAACCCUACGGGAGGGAGGCGUGGGGAAUAUUGCACAAUGGGGGAAAACCUGAUGCAGCCACGGCGGGUGGAGGAAGAAGGUCUUCAGAUUGUAAACUCCUGUUGUUGAGGAAGAUAAUGACGGUAAUCAAAAAGGAAGGGACGGCUAACUACGUG